This 857-nucleotide ribosomal RNA is filed under the name uncultured archaeon. Its description in RNAcentral is "bacterial SSU rRNA". It matches the Rfam family "Archaeal small subunit ribosomal RNA", at positions 67 to 910 of the family's 1478-position model. The record is from RNAcentral.
UAUGUCUGUGAGCGGCACACUGCUCAGUAACACGUAGCUAACUUACCCUUAGGACGUGGACAACCCCGAGAAAUUGGGGCUAAUCCGCGAUAGAUGUAUUGUCCUGGAAUGGUAUUACGUCCAAAGGUAUCCCAUACAUGUUUGGUAUACGCCUAAGGAUGGGGCUGCGGCCGAUCAGGCUGUUGGUGAGGUAAUGGCUCACCAAACCUUUGACCGGUACGGGCCAUGAGAGUGGUAGCCCGGAGAUGGACACUGAGACAAGGGUCCAGGCCCUACGGGGCGCAGCAGGCGCGAAACCUCCUCAAUGCACUUACGUGCGAAGGGGCUACCUCGAGUGCCACCUGAUGAAGGUGGCUUUUCCUAGGUCUAAAAAGCCUUGGGAAUAAGAGGGGGGCAAGACUGGUGUCAGCCGCCGCGGUAACACCAGCCCCUCGAGUGGUGGGGAUGAUUAUUGGGCCUAAAGCGUCCGUAGCCUGCCGUUAAAGUUUCCCGUUAAAUCCAGCGUCUCAAGCGUUGGACCGCGGGAAAUACUGCACGGCUAGAGAGUGGGAGAGGUCAGCGGUAUUCUGGGGGUAGGGGCGAAAUCCUUUGAUCCCCGGAGGACCACCAGUGGCGAAGGCUGCUGACUAGAACACGUCUGACGGUCAGGGACGAAAGCUGGGGUAGCGAACCGGAUUAGAUACCCGGGUAGUCCCAGCCGUAAACGAUGCAUGCUAGGUGUUGGGUUGGCCACGAGCCACCCCAGUGCCGCAGGGAAGCCGUUAAGCAUGCCGCCUGGGAAGUACGAUCGCAAGGUUGAAACUUAAAGGAAUUGGCGGGGGAGCACCACCAGGCGUGAAGCCUGCGGUUUAAUUGGA